GAACUGAGAGAUAAAGGGAGUUAGCUGCUGCUUUGCAUUCCUGCUCACUGUCCUCCUAACUUGAUUCUUCAUUUUCAAGAUUUGGGCAAAAAAACGUUCUCUUGAAGUGGAAGAUUUAUUGUGAUUUACAUUUGAAGAUAAAGGCAUGCACACAUCUUGUUAACAAUU
This is a long non-coding RNA of Hibiscus syriacus, 168 nucleotides long. RefSeq lists it as uncharacterized. The record is from RefSeq and is a predicted model, not a curated record. Lineage: Eukaryota; Viridiplantae; Streptophyta; Magnoliopsida; Malvales; Malvaceae. The transcript is spliced from 2 exons.